This 301-nucleotide ribosomal RNA is filed under the name uncultured bacterium. RNAcentral describes it as "partial 16S ribosomal RNA". It matches the Rfam family "Bacterial small subunit ribosomal RNA", at positions 509 to 807 of the family's 1533-position model. The record is from RNAcentral.
CAGUCGCCACGGUAAUACGAAGGGGGCUAGCGUUGCUCGGAAUGACUGGGCGUAAAGGGCGCGUAGGCGGCGGCCAAAGUCAGGCGUGAAAUUCCUGGGCUCAACCUGGGGGCUGCGUUUGAUACUUGAUUGCUAGAGUGGGGAAGAGGGUCGUGGAAUUCCCAGUGUAGAGGUGAAAUUCGUAGAUAUUGGGAAGAACACCGGUGGCGAAGGCGGCGACCUGGUCCUUGACUGACGCUGAGGCGCGAAAGCGUGGGGAGCAAACAGGAUUAGAUACCCCAGUAGUCCCUGUCUCUUAUAC